UACGAAGGGGGCUAGCGUUGCUCGGAAUCACUGGGCGUAAAGGGUGCGUAGGCGGGUCAUUAAGUCAGGGGUGAAAUCCUGGAGCUCAACUCCAGAACUGCCUUUGAUACUGAGGAUCUUGAGUUCGGGAGAGGUGAGUGGAACUGCGAGUGUAGAGGUGAAAUUCGUAGAUAUUCGCAAGAACACCAGUGGCGAAGGCGGCUCACUGGCCCGAUACUGACGCUGAGGCACGAAAGCGUGGGGAGCAAACAGG
RNAcentral lists this ribosomal RNA (253 nucleotides) under uncultured bacterium. RNAcentral's name for it is "partial 16S ribosomal RNA". It matches the Rfam family "Bacterial small subunit ribosomal RNA", at positions 524 to 776 of the family's 1533-position model. The record is from RNAcentral.